UACGUAGGGGCAAGCGUUGUCCGGAUUUAUUGGGCGUAAAGAGCGUGUAGGCGGCCAUUCAGGUCAGCUGUGAAAACUCGAGGCUCAACCUCGAGACGUCGGUUGAAACCGUAUGGCUAGAGUCCGGAAGAGGAGAGUGGAAUUCCGGUGUAGCGGUGAAAUGCGCAGAGUAUCAGGAGGAAUACCUAUGGCGAAAGCAGGUAUCUGG
RNAcentral lists this ribosomal RNA (208 nucleotides) under uncultured bacterium. RNAcentral describes it as "partial 16S ribosomal RNA". It matches the Rfam family "Bacterial small subunit ribosomal RNA", at positions 524 to 732 of the family's 1533-position model. The record is from RNAcentral.